This 77-nucleotide transfer RNA is filed under the name Ahrensia marina. RNAcentral describes it as "tRNA-Asp". It matches the Rfam family "tRNA". Rfam says of the family: Transfer RNA (tRNA) molecules are approximately 80 nucleotides in length. Their secondary structure includes four short double-helical elements and three loops (D, anti-codon, and T loops). Further hydrogen bonds mediate the characteristic L-shaped molecular structure. tRNAs have two regions of fundamental functional importance: the anti-codon, which is responsible for specific mRNA codon recognition, and the 3' end, to which the tRNAs corresponding amino acid is attached (by aminoacyl-tRNA synthetases). tRNAs cope with the degeneracy of the genetic code in two manners: having more than one tRNA (with a specific anti-codon) for a particular amino acid; and 'wobble' base-pairing, i.e. permitting non-standard base-pairing at the 3rd anti-codon position. Lineage: Bacteria; Pseudomonadati; Pseudomonadota; Alphaproteobacteria; Hyphomicrobiales; Ahrensiaceae. The record is from RNAcentral. RNAcentral also lists the same sequence under 4 other names.
GCGGCUGUAGCUCAGUUGGUUAGAGUGCCGGCCUGUCACGCCGGAGGUCGCGGGUUCGAGCCCCGUCAGCCGCGCCA